Molecule: ribosomal RNA, 218 nt
Filed under: uncultured bacterium
Lineage: Bacteria
Description: partial 16S ribosomal RNA
Rfam family: Bacterial small subunit ribosomal RNA
Source: RNAcentral
UAGUCUGGGAAACUGCCUGAUGAGGGGGAGUAACUGCUGGAAACGGUAGCUAAUACCGCAUAACGUCGCAAGACCAAAGUGGGGGACCUUCGGGCCUCAUGCCAUCAGAUGUGCCCAGAUGGGAUUAGCUAGUAGGUGGGGUAACGGCUCACCUAGGCGACGAUCCCUAGCUGGUCUGAGAGGAUGACCAGCCACACUGGAGCUGAGACACGGUCCAG